CCGAGUUUACAACUCCCAAACCCCUGUGAACAUACCUAUAUGUUGCCUCGGCGGAUCAGCCCGCUCCCGGUAAAACGGGACGGCCCGCCAGAGGACCCCUAAACUCUGUUUCUAUAUGUAACUUCUGAGUAAAACCAUAAAUAAAUCA
RNAcentral lists this unclassified non-coding RNA (148 nucleotides) under soil metagenome. RNAcentral describes it as "partial internal transcribed spacer 1". The record is from RNAcentral.